GAUGAACGCUGGCGGCGUGCCUAAUACAUGCAAGUCGAGCGAACAGACGAGGAUCUUGCUCCUCUGACGUUAGCGGCGGACGGGUGAGUAACACGUGGAUAACCUACCUAUAAGACUGGGAUAACUUCGGGAAACCGGAGCUAAUACCGGAUAAUAUAUUGAACCGCAUGGUUCAAUAGUGAAAGACGGUUUUGCUGUCACUUAUAGAUGGAUCCGCGCCGCAUUAGCUAGUUGGUAAGGUAACGGCUUACCAAGGCAACGAGGCGUAGCCGACCUGAGAGGGUGAUCGGCCACACUGGAACGGGAACACGGUCCAGACGCCUGCGGGAGGCAGCAGUAGGGAAUCUUCCGCAAUGGGCGAAAGCCUGACGGAGCAACGCCGCGUGAGUGAUGAAGGUCUUCGGAUCGUAAAACUCUGUUAUUAGGGAAGAACAAAUGUGUAAGUAACUAUGCACGUCUUGACGGUACCUAAUCAGAAAGCCACGGCUAACUACGUG
RNAcentral lists this ribosomal RNA (497 nucleotides) under uncultured bacterium. Its description in RNAcentral is "partial 16S ribosomal RNA". It matches the Rfam family "Bacterial small subunit ribosomal RNA", at positions 28 to 507 of the family's 1533-position model. The record is from RNAcentral.